GUGCUCGCUUAGGCAGCACAGAUACUGAAAUUGGACCGAUACAGAGAAAGAUUAGCACAAGGAUGACAUGCAAGUUCGUGAAGCGGUCCAUGUAAAA
Molecule: small nuclear RNA, 97 nt
Organism: Myotis lucifugus (little brown bat)
Lineage: Eukaryota; Metazoa; Chordata; Mammalia; Chiroptera; Vespertilionidae
Source: Ensembl